RNAcentral lists this ribosomal RNA (252 nucleotides) under Clostridium botulinum. RNAcentral describes it as "partial 23S ribosomal RNA". It matches the Rfam family "Bacterial large subunit ribosomal RNA", at positions 380 to 634 of the family's 2925-position model. The record is from RNAcentral. Lineage: Bacteria; Bacillati; Bacillota; Clostridia; Eubacteriales; Clostridiaceae.
UAAAAAGAGAAAACUUCGAGAUCUAAUCCAGAGUACCACGAGACACGUGAAACCUUGUGGGAAGCAGGGAGGACCACCUCCCAAGGCUAAAUACUACCUAGUGACCGAUAGUGAAGCAGUACCGGGAGGGAAAGGUGAAAAGAACCCCGGAAGGGGAGUGAAAUAGAACCUGAAACCGUGUGCCUACAACCGAUCGGAGCACGUUAAAGUGUGACGAUGUGCUUUUUGUAGAACGAGCCAGCGAGUUACGCU